CUAACUACGUGCCAGCAGCCGCGGUGAUACGUAGGGUGCGAGCGUGUCCCGGAUUAUUGGGCGUAAAGGGCUCGUAGGUGGUUGAUCGCGUCGGAAGUGUAAUCUUGGGGCUUAACCCUGAGCGUGCUUUCGAUACGGGUUGACUUGAGGAAGGUAGGGGAGAAUGGAAUUCCUGGUGGAGCGGUGGAAUGCGCAGGUAUCAGGAGGAACACCAGUGGCGAAGGCGGUUCUCUGGGCCUUUCCUGACGCUGAGGAGCGAAAGCGUGGGGAGCGAACAGGCUUAGAUACCCUGGUAGUCCACGCUGUAAACGGUGGGUACUAGGUGUGGGGUCCAUUCCACGGGUUCCGUGCCGUAGCUAACGCUUUAAGUACCCCGCCUGGGGAGUACGGCCGCAAGGCUAAAACUCAAAGGAAUUGACGGAGCCCCGCACAAGCGGCGGAGCAUGCGGAUUAAUUCGAUGCAACGCGUAGAACCUUACCUGGGUUUGACAUGGAUCGGGAGCGCUCAGAGAUGGGUGUGCCUCUUUUGGGGUCGGUUCACAGGUGGUGCAUGGCUGCCGUCAGCUCGUGUCGUGAGAUGUUGGGUUAAGUCCCGCAACGAGCGCAACCCUUGUUCACUGUUGCCAGCACGUUAUGGUGGGGACUCAGUGGAGACCGCCGGGGUCAACUCGGAGGAAGGUGGGGAUGACGUCAAGUCAUCAUGCCCCUUAUGUCCAGGGCUUCACGCAUGCUACAAUGGCUGGUACAGAGAGUGGCGAGCCUGUGAGGGUGAGCGAAUCUCGGAAAGCCGGUCUCAGUUCGGAUUGGGGUCUGCAACUCGACCUCAUGAAGUCGGAGUCGCUAGUAAUCGCAGAUCAGCAACGCUGCGGUGAAUACGUUCCCGGGGCUUGUACACACCGCCCGUCAAGUCAUGAAAGUUGGUAACACCCGAAGCCGGUGGCCUAACCGUUGUGGGGGAGCCGUCGAAGGUGGGGCUGGA
RNAcentral lists this ribosomal RNA (979 nucleotides) under uncultured Actinomycetes bacterium. RNAcentral describes it as "bacterial SSU rRNA". It matches the Rfam family "Bacterial small subunit ribosomal RNA", at positions 497 to 1472 of the family's 1533-position model. The record is from RNAcentral. Lineage: Bacteria; Bacillati; Actinomycetota; Actinomycetes.